AGCCGCUGGUGUACGAGGCGCACGUACCGUCGUUCGCGCCGACGACCUUCAGUACCAACCUGAUCGCGGCUCC
RNAcentral lists this transfer RNA (73 nucleotides) under Pseudonocardia sulfidoxydans NBRC 16205. RNAcentral's name for it is "tRNA-Ala". Lineage: Bacteria; Bacillati; Actinomycetota; Actinomycetes; Pseudonocardiales; Pseudonocardiaceae. The record is from RNAcentral.